AAUUCCCAGGGGGCAGCAGCAUGCUUCUCAGGAGAGUCCACAUCUAAACCUGGUGCUGCCACUGUGAGCUACUCUACCAAGUUCACAAGAGUGGUGGUGACUCCCAGGCUCUCUCCACAAUGUGCUUUAUUUCCUGGCCUACUUACCACUGAGGGUGAAUUCUCCUUUUCACAAGAGGAAAAUUUUGGAGGAGAGCAUCCAAAAGGAAUGACGUGUGGCUGUUGAGAGGUAACAUUUAACAAAAUCAUGGCCAUGGAGGAAAUUAAACUUUCACAGAAUGUCCAUAAUGAGCCUCUGAGUGCUGAUGUUUCAGGUAUGGUACAAAGUAGCUGCUUGGAAUUGCAAGUUAAAGAGACAGAAGCCAUCUUUUCCCUGUUGCUUUCAGUGGAUUUAACCACACAUUAACCAUACGAUGACAUUAUGUCAUCUGUCUGGGACACAACAAAGCACCCAGGUUUCAGCAAGCAAAGCAAAGGCAGCAAAAGCAGAUGCCGUUCAUCCUCUAAACUCCUGGGAGAGUUUCUGAAGCUUUGCUCAGCACCUAGUGAUUCUCUGUUUACCUAAAAUUCUGUCCUGCUAGAGGAUCUGAUAUCCUCUCUCACAGACACCGGAAGGGGUAAAAUAGAAAAGGAGAAGGAACUCUGAGAAUUAGACCUGCCGGCCUAAUGAGAAGUGAAGGCUAAACACAGGAGAGAAGAAAGACAAGAAAGAAAGAAGCAGAAUACUUAUUCUGAAGUAGGAACCAGAAUGUCCUGGGGAGAAGGACCGUUGUCAGAGGCCAUCCUGUCUACUUUGGUCUCUCCUCAGGGUGUCGCUUGAUUGCCUGUGAGCAUCAUAAAGCCCUGAGACAUCCAGAGCACUUUCUGUUCUGUUCAGAGUAGAGUCUGUUACAGGAAAGUGUCCGUUCAAAGUGCUUUAGUUUAAAAAUGUUGGCACUAAUAGGGAUAACAUUCAGUUAGCGUCUUCCUUCA
Long non-coding RNA from Phacochoerus africanus (Common warthog), 971 nucleotides. RefSeq lists it as uncharacterized. The record is from RefSeq and is a predicted model, not a curated record. The transcript is spliced from 3 exons. NCBI's taxonomy places the organism in Eukaryota, Metazoa, Chordata, Mammalia, Artiodactyla, Suidae.